GCCAGGCAACCUUCCCCCUUCGCGGCCGAGAUGGACCCUGGGCUCGGCGUCCUCCGGAAAACUGCACUGUGAGGCGGGGCGAUGGGGAAGGGCCGAAGCCCCGCCAGCCCAGCUAAAGCAGACGGCUCGCACUGCGACCCGAAGCGGGCCCAGCACAGGGAUCACAUUGUCGGGGUGACCUGGAUCCUACUUGAAGCCUUUGAGCUGGACUGUGGCUUUAUCCCUGAGGCCAGGCUUCAUGUCCAGAUGGCCAUGCCAGAGGUUGACGUGGCAGAGAAGGAGUGUGACACAGGCCAGUGGAGCGAGUGGAGCCAGCCUGUGUGCUUCCAGGCUCCCCAGAGACAAGGACCCACCCGAGGAUGGGUCACCAUGGCUUUGGAGCACCUGGUAGUGUGGCAUGUCCACAGUGAAGACCAGAGUUUCGUUGUCCUUAAGACUGACCUGGGAGACGUGGCUGGAGGCCAUUGAGGAAGACGGCACCGAAAGCGAAGGAAGCUCCUGCUCCUCCUAAAGCCGAAGCCAAAGCGAAGGCUUUAAAGGCCAAGAAGGCAGUGUUGAAAGGUGUCCGCAGCCACACGCAAAAAAGAAGAUCCGCAUGUCACUCACCUUCAGGCGGCCCAAGACACUGCGACUCCGGAGGCAGCCCAGAUAUCCUCGGAAGAGCACCCCCAGGAGAAACAAGCUUGGCCACUAUGCUAUCAUCAAGUUUCCGCUGACCACUGAGUCGGCCGUGAAGAAGAUAGAAGAAAACAACACGCUUGUGUUCACUGUGGAUGUUAAAGCCAACAAGCACCAGAUCAGACAGGCUGUGAAGAAGCUCUAUGACAGUGAUGUGGCCAAGGUCACCACCCUGAUUUGUCCUGAUAAAGAGAAGAAGGCAUAUGUUCGACUUGCUCCUGAUUAUGAUGCUUUCGAUGUUGUAACAAAAUUGGGAUCACCUAAACUGAGUCCAGCUGGCUAACUCUAAAUAUAUGUGUAUCUUUUCAGCAUAAAAAAAUAAUGUUUUUCAUAAGAAUGACAACUUAAUUAGAAUCAAAUCUAUAAGCUUUAAGAUUUUACGUUUCUAGUAAGUAUAAUAUUAGCUUAUUUGACUAGAACUCAAGCAGAAUAGGAAUUUAUGCUUGUUUUAUAUUCAAUAAUGAUAAUUUUGAAGAUAUAGUUGUUUUAUUACACCAAAAAUACUAUAUUAAUCUUAUUUAACUAAGUUUUAUCCAAAUCAUGUUAACUUAAGAAACAUUUGAUCAGUUCCUAUAUUUCUAGGAGUUUGGUGAAUAUUUAUUUAUAAAUGCUUAUUUUUUUCCAAGCCAA
This is a long non-coding RNA of Homo sapiens (human), 1308 nucleotides long. Lineage: Eukaryota; Metazoa; Chordata; Mammalia; Primates; Hominidae. The record is from Ensembl.